This 420-nucleotide ribosomal RNA is filed under the name uncultured bacterium. Its description in RNAcentral is "bacterial SSU rRNA". It matches the Rfam family "Bacterial small subunit ribosomal RNA", at positions 355 to 772 of the family's 1533-position model. The record is from RNAcentral.
UAAGGAAUAUUGGACAAUGCCCGCAAGGGUGAUCCAGCCAUGCCGCGUGCAGGAAGACGGCCCUAUGGGUUGUAAACUGCUUUUGUACCGGAGAAAACCUCCCCUCGUGAGGGGAGCUGAUAGUAUGGUACGAAUAAGCAUCGGCUAACUUCGUGCCAGCAGCCGCGGUAAGACGAAGGAUGCAAGCGUUAUCCGGAUUCAUUGGGUUUAAAGGGAGCGUAGGUGGACUGAUAAGUCAGUGGUGAAAUCUUCGAGCUUAACUCGGAAAUUGCCAUUGAUACUGUUGGUCUUGAGUACAGUUGCUGUGGGCGGAAUAUGACAUGUAGUGGUGAAAUACAUAGAGAUGUCAUAGAACACCGAUUGCGAAGGCAGCUCACAAAACUGUAACUGACACUGAGGCUCGAAAGUGUGGGGAUCAAA